GACGAACGCUGGCGGCGUGCUUAACACAUGCAAGUCGAACGGAAAGGCCCUGCUUUUGUGGGGUGCUCGAGUGGCGAACGGGUGAGUAACACGUGAGUAACCUGCCCUUGACUUUGGGAUAACUUCAGGAAACUGGGGCUAAUACCGGAUAGGAGCUCCUGCUGCAUGGUGGGGGUUGGAAAGUUUCGGCGGUUGGGGAUGGACUCGCGGCUUAUCAGCUUGUUGGUGGGGUAGUGGCUUACCAAGGCUUUGACGGGUAGCCGGCCUGAGAGGGUGACCGGCCACAUUGGGACUGAGGUACGGCCCAGACUCCUACGGGAGGCAGCAGUGGGAAUAUUGCACAAUGGGCGGAAGCCUGAUGCAGCAACGCCGCGUGCGGGAUGACGGCCUUCGGGUUGUAAACCGCUUUCGCCUGUGACGAAGCGUGAGUGACGGUAAUGGGUAAAGAAGCACCGGCUAACUACGUG
This 467-nucleotide ribosomal RNA is filed under the name uncultured bacterium. RNAcentral's name for it is "partial 16S ribosomal RNA". It matches the Rfam family "Bacterial small subunit ribosomal RNA", at positions 28 to 507 of the family's 1533-position model. The record is from RNAcentral.